Molecule: unclassified non-coding RNA, 337 nt
Filed under: soil metagenome
Description: partial contains 5.8S ribosomal RNA, internal transcribed spacer 2, and large subunit ribosomal RNA
Rfam family: 5.8S ribosomal RNA (bases 1-120)
Source: RNAcentral
GAUGAAGAACGUAGCGAAAUGCGAUAAGUAAUGUGAAUUGCAGAAUUCAGUGAAUCAUCGAAUCUUUGAACGCACAUCGCGCCCCUUGGUAUUCCGGGGGGCAUGCCUGUUCGAGCGUCAUUUCAACCCUCAAGCUCUGCUUGGUAUUGGGCACCGUCCUUUGCGGGCGCGCCUCAAAGACCUCGGCGGUGGCGUCUUGCCUCAAGCGUAGUAGAAUACACCUCGCUUCGGAGCGUAAGGCGUCGCCCGCCGGACGAACCUUCUGAACUUUUCUCAAGGUUGACCUCGGAUCAGGUAGGGAUACCCGCUGAACUUAAGCAUAUCAAUAAGCGGAGGA